Molecule: long non-coding RNA, 3522 nt
Filed under: Saimiri boliviensis boliviensis (Bolivian squirrel monkey)
Lineage: Eukaryota; Metazoa; Chordata; Mammalia; Primates; Cebidae
Description: lncRNA (ENSSBOG00000036594.1)
Rfam family: Small nucleolar RNA SNORD113/SNORD114 family (bases 531-602)
Source: RNAcentral
UGCAUUUGAAAUGAUUACGCUUGCCCUGUGUAUUUGGCCCACUGAAACCAAUAAUGGGCAGACCCACGCCUUCUGCUGUGAUUGCUCUCUGUGGUUGCCUCCGGGUGGGAGCCUGGACACUAACGGAGGAUGGCACUGGACCUGAUGUAACGAUUCUUUGGUAGUCGCAGAUAUACAGUUGCCUCUGUAUGUUUGGCACGUGAAAACCAAUGUGAGUUUCUGUGGACAUAUACUCUUUAUUUGAAAAGUUUGAAAUAUCAUCAAACAAAGCCAACCAUGGCCCAGUGAUAAAUAUGGAAUUCAUAUGAAACAUCAUAUUGAUUAAUCAUCUUUGAGGAUGAUUGAUUAAAGCGAUGAAGGGAUUCUACGUAGAGAUGCAGCACUCUUUCAGGCCCACUCGUGUUCUAGGUUAGGUGCUUCAUGGUGAUUUAUUUUAUUAUCAGAUAAUUGAUGAGUUAAUUAGUAAACAAAGGUAUAGGAGAGUGAAAGAAAACCCAGAUAAGCAAAGAAACUAAAACAAGGCCCAAGCCUGGAUCGAUGAUGACCGCUGGUGGCGUAUGAGUCGUGUAUGAUGAAUACGUGUCUGGAACUCUGAGGUCCAGCAUAAAAAGAAAAUCAGUUUAUUGGCACUGGUGAAAAUGACCUUAUAGGCAGAUGUAAGAUUUUACAAGGAUCUUGCUUGGCAUCUGUUAUAAUUAGAAUCCAAAUCCAUGGAUAAUUAGAAUUAGAAUCAUUAUAAUUAGAACCCACGAAUUAGGACUCUAAUUAUAAUAAAUAGUCAAUAAAAAUAUCCAUGUCCAAUAAAGAGAUCGUGUUAUUCACCUCAGAUAUAUACAAUUAACCCUUUUAAUGAAAAAGAAUUAAUGUACAAUUAUAGUAAGUGUAGGUGAAGAGAGCGAAGUAUGGUUCAGCUAUGAAAAAAUGAGUGAGGCAAGAGGAACUAAUAGUAUGGAAAACACUAAAGUCAGUUAAGUAAUAUAUGGCUCCAACGUGUUGCUUCUUGCUAAUGAGGAUAUGGAAAACAUCAGCAAUGGUCAAUAUUCUUGUUUUGUCUUAGUGGAAGUUCGAUGUUGUUUGUUUUUAAGAGCAUGUGAAAUAUUUAGAAAGCAAAUUUGGAUAAGCCUAAAAGACUGAAUAAUGAAUUCUAGAUGCAAGGAUACAUGGAGAGAAUAUUUCAAUCAUGCUCCCAUCUGCUCUGUUUUCUACUUCUUAGAAUGGACGUACUCCAGCUGAUUUAAGCCUUGGUCAGUGAUCUCUAUGGUUGACUCCUUGUACAGGAGUGUGGAGACCCAUGGGAGUAAUGGGUCCAUUGUUGUCAUCUUGGUUGGAGUAGUUCGUUUAGAGUAUCUGCUGUAAUAUUAAAAGAAGUAUUCAAUAUAAGAAGAAAAACCAGCCAGGUGCAGUGGCUCAUGCCUGUAAUCCCAGCACCCUGGGAGGCUGAGGCGGAUGGGUCACCUGAGCUCAGGAGUUCGAGACCAGCCUGCCCAACAUGGUAACAUGGUGAAAUCCCACCUCUACUAAAAAUGCAAAAAAUUGGCUGGGCAUGGUGGUGCAUGUCUGUAAUCCCAGAUACUGUGGAAGCUGAGGCAGGAGAAUCACUGGAACCUGGGAAGCUGAGCUUGCAGUGAGCCAAGAUCAAGCCAUUGCACUCCAGCCUGGGCAACAAGAGCGAAACUCCCUCAAAACAAACAAACAAACAAAGAAGACCAACCAUUCCCCAGUGAUAAAUAUGAAGUUGACAUGAAAUGUUAUUUUGAUUAAUCAAUAUUUGCAGCAAUGAGAAUAAUUAAUGAAAGAAGUAUAGUCAUUGACGCAUGUGAAUCUCUAGAAUAAUGUGAAGGAUCAUCUUUUGAGGUUUUUUUCUUUGAGAUAGAGUUUUGCUCAUCGCCCAGGUUGGAGUGCAGUUGCGCAAUCUUGGUUCACUGCAACCUCCGCCUCCCAGGUUCAAGCAAUUCUCCUGCUUCAGCCUCCCGAGUAGCUGAGAUUGCAGGUGCCCACCACCAUGCCCUGCUAAUUUUUGUAUUUUUUAGUAGAGAUGGGGUUUCACCAUGUUGGCCAGGCUGGUCUUGAACCCCUGACCUCAGGUGAUCUGCCCGCCUCAGCCUCCUAACGUGCUGGGAUUACAGGGGUGGGGUUCUUUUUUUUAGUUUUAAUCACUAAUACAUAUUUAUUUUAUUAUUAUAUGAGAAUUAUAAACUCAUAAUUAACAAAAGUAGAUGAGAAAAAAGAAAAAGAAGACCCAAGCUAGGUCAAAGAAUGAUGACUGGUAGUGUGUGAAUCAAUUGCAGUGAAACUAUGUGUCUGGAAUGCUGAGGUCCAAUAUGAAGUGAAAUAUCAUCUAUUGCUUCUGUUUGAAGUGAUCUUAUCUACAUAUUCUAGGAAUGUAAAAUAGCUAUUUUCUUGGAUCGUUUUUAUGAAGUUGGAUUUUAUUAUUAUAAAUUGAUCAAUGUAACGAUCAUUGUGGAAAAACAAGUAAGUAAAGAUGAAGAGUGUGAAGCAUGCCCACUCCUUUUAAAUUAUUUUUUUAUUUUGAAUGUUCACAGGUACAGAGUGGGCAUAUAUAUUUGUGGGGUACAUGAGAUGGUUUGACACAGACAUGCAAUGGCAAGUGAGCACAUCAUGGAGAAUGGGAUCUCCAUCCCGUUAAGAAUUUAUCCUUUGUGUUCUGAACAAUCCAGUUAUACUCAGUUAUUUUCAAAUAUACAAUUAAGUUAUUAUUCACAGUAGUCAUCCUGUUCCUAUCAAAUACUAGGUCUUAUUUGUUCUAAUUAUAUUUUUUGCACCUAUGAACCAUGCCCACCUCCUGCCCAGCCCCUGACUACCUUUCCUAGAUUCUCAUAACCAGCCUUCUACCAUGUAUGUCCAUAGAGUUCAAUUGUUUUGAUCUUAUAUCCUACGAAUAGGUGAGAUGUUUGUCUUUCUGUGCCUGGCUUAUUUACUGAACAGAAUGAUCUCCAGUUCCAUCAGUGAAAUUGCAAAUGACAGGAUCUUAUUCUUUUCUAUGGCUGAAUAGUACUCGAUUGUGUAUAUGUGCCAUAUUUUCUUCAUCCAUCCACCUGAUGAAGGUGAUGAAAAGAUGAAGUUGGUAUUAUGGAUCAAUGGCAGUUUGAUAUUCUUAAUUUUUUUAAGAGAAAAAUUCAUAAGUAUUACCCCAAAUUAAAUGAAUAUAUACCUACACAGUUGACUUACUGAGAUUUGGAUGUACUCAACAAUGUUGAUAACAUCUUAGUCUUCUUUUCAUCUGCUCUGUUUUGAGCUUCUCAGAGUGGGCACACCAGAACAUGCUUAAGCAUCCUGCCAUGUUCACAAGCUCCAUGGUUGCCUCUAUGUGUAUGAGCCUGUGUAUGAGCCUCAGUCCUCUGUGAGUAGUCAGAGUUCUUGUCUUGGUUUGGGUGGUUUGUUUAGGGUGUUUGCUGUAAUAUUUUUAAAAAAUUAAAUAUAUUCAAAAAGAGUUAUCCAUGGCCUAAUGACCAAUGUGGAAUUGAUAUGAAACAUCACGCUGAUUAAUUUACAACAACAAGA